AUUGAACGCUGGCGGCAGGCCUAACACAUGCAAGUCGAGCGGAUGAAGGGAGCUUGCUCCUGGAUUCAGCGGCGGACGGGUGAGUAAUGCCUAGGAAUCUGCCUGGUAGUGGGUGAUAACGACCGGAAACGGGUGCUAAUACCGCAUACGUCCUGAGGGUGAAAGUGGGGGAGCUUCGGACCUCACGCUAUCAGAUGAGCCUAGGUCGGAUUAGCUAGUUGGUGGGGUAAAGGCCUACCUAGGCGGCCAUCCGUAACUGGACUGAGAGGAUGAUAAGUCACACUGGAGGGUGGACACGGACCUGACGACUAAGAGAGGGCGCAGUGGGGUAUAGGAGGCAGUGGGCGGAAGCAUGGUACAGCCAUGGCGAGUGUGUGAAGAAGAUGUUCGGAUUGUAAAGCAGUCUAAGGGGGGGGGAAGGGCAGUAAGUUAAUACCUUGCUUGAGUGACGUUAAUAGCAAAAGAAGCACCGGCUAACUACGUG
RNAcentral lists this ribosomal RNA (484 nucleotides) under uncultured bacterium. RNAcentral's name for it is "partial 16S ribosomal RNA". It matches the Rfam family "Bacterial small subunit ribosomal RNA", at positions 29 to 507 of the family's 1533-position model. The record is from RNAcentral.